CUGGAGUGAUGCAGCUUAGCCAAAUCAGACAUUGAUGUGCUCCUUAAAGUGUUUCUUUUAAAGUCUUUAGCAAUGGUAAUAUCUGGA
Molecule: small nucleolar RNA, 87 nt
Organism: Coffea eugenioides
Lineage: Eukaryota; Viridiplantae; Streptophyta; Magnoliopsida; Gentianales; Rubiaceae
Product: small nucleolar RNA snoR127
Exons: 1
Source: RefSeq, a predicted model, not a curated record